GAUGAACGCUAGCAGGAGGCUUAAUACAUGCAAGUCGAACGGUAAGGUCCAGCUUGCUGGAUACACGAGUGGCGAACGGGUGAGUAACGCGUACAUACCUACCUAUAGGAGGGGAAUAGCCCUGGGAAACUGGGAUUAAUGCCCCAUAAUAUUAAGAUGUUUAUAUGUUUUAAUUAAAGUUCCGGCGCCUAUAGAUGGAUGUGCGUCCCAUUAGCUAGUUGGUAAGGUAGUUGCUUACCAAGGCUACGAUGGGUAGGGGGCGUGAGAGCGUGAUCCCCCACACGGGUACUGAGACACGGACCCGACUCCUACGGGAGGCAGCAGUAAGGAAUAUUGGACAAUGGGGGCAACCCUGAUCCAGCCAUCCUGCGUGUAGGAUGACGGCCCUAUGGGUUGUAAACUACUUUUAUAGAGGAAGAAAAGUCUGGAUUUAUCUGGAUCUGACGGUACUCUAAGAAUAAGCACCGGCUAACUCCG
This 477-nucleotide ribosomal RNA is filed under the name uncultured Saprospiraceae bacterium. RNAcentral's name for it is "bacterial SSU rRNA". It matches the Rfam family "Bacterial small subunit ribosomal RNA", at positions 28 to 505 of the family's 1533-position model. Lineage: Bacteria; Pseudomonadati; Bacteroidota; Saprospiria; Saprospirales; Saprospiraceae. The record is from RNAcentral.